Molecule: ribosomal RNA, 417 nt
Filed under: Nitrosospira sp. enrichment culture
Lineage: Bacteria; Pseudomonadati; Pseudomonadota; Betaproteobacteria; Nitrosomonadales; Nitrosomonadaceae
Description: bacterial SSU rRNA
Rfam family: Bacterial small subunit ribosomal RNA
Source: RNAcentral
UUUUGGAGGAAAGCAGGGGAUCGCAAGACCUUGCGCUUUUGGAGCGGCCGAUGUCUGAUUAGCUAGUUGGUGAGGUAAAGGCUUACCAAGGCUUCGAUCAGUAGCUGGUCUGAGAGGACGACCAGCCACACUGGGACUGAGACACGGCCCAGACUCCUACGGGAGGCAGCAGUGGGGAAUUUUGGACAAUGGGGGAAACCCUGAUCCAGCCAUGCCGCGUGAGUGAAGAAGGCCUUCGGGUUGUAAAGCUCUUUCAGCCGGAACGAAAAGGUUACGGUUAAUACCCGUGACUAAUGACGGUACCGGAAGAAGAAGCACCGGCUAACUACGUGCCAGCAGCCGCGGUAAUACGUAGGGUGCGAGCGUUAAUCGGAAUUACUGGGCGUAAAGCGUGCGCAGGCGGNUUUGUAAGUCAGA